Molecule: ribosomal RNA, 424 nt
Filed under: uncultured Oscillospiraceae bacterium
Lineage: Bacteria; Bacillati; Bacillota; Clostridia; Eubacteriales; Oscillospiraceae
Description: bacterial SSU rRNA
Rfam family: Bacterial small subunit ribosomal RNA
Source: RNAcentral
UGGGGAAUAUUGCACAAUGGGCGAAAGCCUGAUGCAGCAACGCCGCGUGAGGGAAGACGGUUUUCGGAUUGUAAACCUCUGUUUUCGGUGACGAAUAAAUGACGGUAACCGAGUAGGAAGCCACGGCUAACUACGUGCCAGCAGCCGCGGUAAUACGUAGGUGGCAAGCGUUAUCCGGAAUUACUGGGUGUAAAGGGAGCGCAGGCGGGAUAGCAAGUCAGCUGUGAAAACUAUGGGCUCAACCUAUAAACUGCAGUUGAAACUGUAUCUCUUGAGUGUCGGAGAGGUAGACGGAAUUCCUAGUGUAGCGGUGAAAUGCGUAGAUAUUAGGAGGAACACCAGUGGCGAAGGCGGUCUACUGGACGAUAACUGACGCUGAGGCGCGAAAGCGUGGGGAGCAAACAGGAUUAGAUACCCUGGUAGU